UUCUUUCUCUCCUUUUAGGCUUCCUACCCUCCAUUUAGGUUUUCCUCCCUAUAGUCAUCAAUCCAAUCCAUUAUUUUUGUAACUCCUAUCUUUAACGUGUGGAAUUUUUUUCCUUCUUACACCCACCAGCUGCAACAUGGAAAAAAAAAAGUUCUUUUGCCUAAAAUGUGUUAUUGCUAUGAAAAGUGACUACGUAAAAGCGAGAUCUUCUUACUAAACAGAACAGUCCCUUUUUGCCUUAAGGGCUGUUUGAUUUGUUUGGAUAGCAGCAUACUACUUCUCUUGAUACUAGCAAUGGAGAACAGGUGCAGCUGAGGGAGCGAGCUCAGACCACUGGUUGGUCUUGCGACUCUUUAAUGGAGCCGUCUAUCAAAUGUCACUUGCUGACGCUGGUGCAGACCCACUGAAGGCUGUUGAAGGCUCCAUCACACGACACAGCACAGCCUGACCCCAAGCAUCUGCUGGAGCAGAUUAUGCAUCGCCUGAACUAGGAUACUGUAUCUAGCUGGACCCUCACCUGGACAAUCCCAGCUCCUUCCUCCUGUUGCUGUUGAAAGCCUGGUGGCUGCCAAGACUCUGCCAGGAAGGGGUCUCUGCUCCUCCAGGGAGCCAGCAUAGUGUGCAGCACCCAAAAGAGAAGCAAACCACUGUCUUUGUGUGCAAAGUGGGCUGCAGGUGCUGCGCACUGGCAUGCUUGGGCUCAGCAACCUCGGCUGCACUCCCACUUGAACUCCUACCUUCCUCCCCAGAGCCCAGAUUGACUCCUGAUGUUUGGCUUGCCUGCUUUUUUCUAGACCAUCCAUUUCUCUUCGUUUGUGAAACCACACAAUCACUUCUGUUUAUUUCUGAAGCCAUGCAAGAUUACACAUCAGGUGGCAGAACACACUUGUUCUCACAGUUGACACAGUCAUCAGAGUAUCAACGAUUGCAUUUGUGAUUGCUUGGUAAUGGUGGCAUCCAGUUUUCUUGCAUUUCUUCAGGCCACUAUAGCUACAUUUCAGAGAACCCUCAGGCAAGUGUUCCCGCCCCCUAGGAGUAAGCAAGGGAGGGAGGAAGCACAGUGAGUACCAGCAACAUGUGCUCCUUUCUAUGAACAUCCUCCUUGGGGAGAAGCUGUUCAGCACACAAGGCAAACUGAUUCCUAGGCUGUUUCCCACAGAAGAUUUCUUUCAGUUCUGGUCUGCUUUGUUUUACUGAACAGCCUGCCUAUGAAAUCCCGGCUGCACGGGAUACUAAUAUCGUUUUAAGGACUCUUACAAAGGGACAUAACAAAGCCUAGGUUCAGUCUACGCCAGGCAGGAAAGCUACAGCACUCUCACAUCCUCGUGCACGCUCACUGGGUCUGACGCUGCUUGCACCGGAGCAGGCACAGAGCUCAGGAAAGUCACACCAGGGACUUCCCAACACAGCGAGCUGCCGGAGCCUGCCCAUGGACAGAGAUCAAGGCCGUUUUUCUCAGCUUUGACCACACAAGACAUCUGCAGCCAGAGUGAUUCUGUAAGGCCUUGACCUGUCACCACUUGUUGCCAGAUAACAGCUUUCCUCUUCAUGCUCAACAAGCAAGGGGUACAGGCAAAUGAUCAAGCAGAAAUGGGUAUGAUACAGGAACGCAACAACUAAAAAUACAUUUGAUGUUCCUAGGUGGAAAGCAGCAACGCAGAGCCCAUCUUAGGCCUCAGCCAGCUUUAAGAAGAGCAUGCAGCAAAGAACUUCCUUUGCAACAUUUGCAUGUGUUCAUUAAUGAGCUUGCUGGGAAUGUAAUUUUCCAAAGAUUUCCCUUGUCAGAGCAGCCGCAUAGCACAACAUGGCUGCAGCAGCAAAGCCUACCAUUUCAUGAUGUAGAAGAGCUUUAGGACGUUUCAUGAAACAAUCAAGCGGAAGAGCCAAAGAGUGUAACAGAAUGCAUAUAAUUCCAGUUGUUUUGUGAAAAUAUUCAAAUGUUUAUUCUGAGUAAGAUAUAAACAUCUAAUCAGACUAACAAAUAUUCUCUCUCUUAACUCCAAUACAUUAUGUUCUUCUGACUAGCAUUGCUUGUCAAGUAACAUACUCUUUAGCAAUGCCAUACCAUACCUGGUUUUCUGUAACUCACAGAUGACAUGCAAAUAUCAAAGGCUGAGGAAAAAACCCAACUCAAAAUGCCAUCAACGGAAAGCUCAGUAUAGUUAAGUCUCCUGAGUUGGAAAAAGGCAAUCUUCCUCCAGAGAUGCCUUUUUAGAAGUAAGCCCUCAGCAUUUGCACUGAGUAAGGACAGUGAUCUUGGAGAAGUCUAUAUCAACCUACUCUGCAUCUGACAAAACGAAAAAGAAAAUCAUUCAAAGCAUCUCUGAUGCAAUGAUUUCAACAUCAAUGAUUGCAGAGAUUUUUUUUUUUUUUUAGUUACUUGACCUGUAAGCAAAACAUAACAUGUCAAACUGUAGGUGAAAGAAGGGCAUAGUUUUGGCUUUCCUACUAUUGCUAUCAAAACUAGGCAACUAUCAGUUCAGGACAAGAAACCAAACACACAGGGAAAUCAUGAUCAACUGCUGUGGAACAUUAAAAGCCUACAAUUCUUAAUUCAGGUGUGGCAAUGCUGAUAUCCUGGAAAUCGUCACACUAUAGUCAGCAUUGCAUAAGAUUCUCUGGUUCGUAUUCCUGCUCCUAUUUUUACCUUUAAUCCCCACCAUUAGUUCACUCUUGUGUAGUUUCAGCCCCUCUUCCGUUUUAAAAAGGAAGGAGCUACAGUACACGGUAGAUAAGGACUCCACUCAUCAGGAUCCUCUAUUUUGUCCUGCUAUGUUGACUGUAAAACUCCAAGUGGAAAAGCUGGAUGGAAGAGGCCAAAAAAAACAAUCUGUGUGCACGCAACUGGAGAACUAGCAGUAUAGCUGCAGCAUCUCUAUAAAUGAGAGAAUGUAGUUUUAGAGGCUAUGCCUCUUUUAUUAUUCCCUAAUAAAUAUAUGAGAAAUAUGGUGCAAGUGGUCAGCCUGGCAGAGCACACAUCAAGAUAGAACUUAUAAUUAAAGAGGCAAACAAAGCUGCACUUAUAUUUCCAGGCCUACAAAUCUGCACAAGCACUGAAGCAAGAGAAACAACAAUGAAGUCCAUAAACAAACCUAUUGCUAGGGAGCACGGAAGAGAAAAGAAAAGUAGAGGUUUUGCUAACUUUUAGGGGGAGAAAGGACAGAAAACAGGCAGCAUGCUCUUGCCAGGAGUUAACACAAAAACAACUGAUGUGUUGUGAUUCCACGGCUCUGUGACCGAAUAGGACUGCAAAGAGCUCCUGAACAAAAUGCUAAGCAGCAAAAUAUAAACUGGAUACUCACGUUAUGGACCCAAGAACUCACACACCAACAUGUAAUUUGCAGAUGUGAAAGUUUCCUUAACUACAGAAAGGAACGUUUGUGGCUCACAUAUUCCAGCCAACAGGAAAGGUUCGAGUUUGUACAGCAGAUAGCUCAGGCCUAACCCAAGGGAAAGGCACAUAGAUAGCAAGAACAGCUGAACUCUUAUAGAAAAAGAUCAUGAUAUGGACAAACACUUGCACAGAA
This is a long non-coding RNA of Struthio camelus australis, 3527 nucleotides long. RefSeq lists it as uncharacterized. NCBI's taxonomy places the organism in Eukaryota, Metazoa, Chordata, Aves, Struthioniformes, Struthionidae. The record is from RefSeq and is a predicted model, not a curated record.